This is an RNA transcript of Prosopis cineraria, 3446 nucleotides long. It is a transcript of the gene named coatomer subunit beta'-2-like, with no coding region annotated. The transcript is spliced from 26 exons. The record is from RefSeq and is a predicted model, not a curated record. NCBI's taxonomy places the organism in Eukaryota, Viridiplantae, Streptophyta, Magnoliopsida, Fabales, Fabaceae.
CAAUAUUUACACUGCUCUCUCGUAUACUUUGCGGAAAACGUCUUCCCUUCGAAUUGGCUUCUGUGCACGAUCUCCUGGGCUCGUCUUCGAAUUCGCUUCUGAUCUCCAAGGAGUGUUCUCGAUUAAAGCGAGUUACAUCUCCAAUCUGUGAAAAUGCCUCUCAGGCUCGAAAUUAAGCGAAAGCUUGCACAAAGAUCAGAGAGAGUAAAGUCCGUGGAUCUACAUCCAACAGAACCAUGGAUUCUGGCAAGUUUAUACUCAGGAACUGUCUGUAUUUGGAACUACCAAUCCCAGACCAUGGCCAAGUCUUUUGAGGUUACUGAGUUACCAGUUAGGUCAGCCAAGUUUGUUGCACGCAAACAGUGGGUGGUUGCUGGAGCAGAUGAUAUGUUCAUCCGCGUAUACAAUUACAACACAAUGGACAAAGUUAAAGUUUUCGAGGCACAUACAGAUUACAUUAGGUGCGUGGCGGUUCAUCCUACCCUUCCUUAUGUGCUGUCAUCAUCUGAUGAUAUGCUCAUAAAGCUUUGGGAUUGGGAGAAAGGCUGGAUUUGUACUCAGAUAUUUGAGGGGCACUCUCAUUACGUGAUGCAAGUGACAUUUAAUCCUAAAGACACCAACACCUUUGCCAGUGCAUCUCUUGAUCGCACCAUAAAGGUUUGGAAUCUUGGUUCACCUGAUCCCAAUUUUACAUUGGAUGCCCAUCAGAAAGGGGUGAACUGUGUUGAUUACUUCACAGGUGGUGACAAACCUUAUCUAAUUACUGGUUCUGAUGAUCACACUGCUAAGGUGUGGGACUAUCAGGCCAAAAGUUGUGUUCAGACUCUAGAAGGUCACGCACACAAUGUAUCUGCUGUUUGCUUUCACCCUGAACUUCCUAUUAUCAUUACCGGUUCUGAGGAUGGCACAGUGCGCAUAUGGCACUCAACAACUUAUAGGCUUGAGAACACAUUGAACUAUGGUCUUGAAAGAGUUUGGGCAAUUGGAUACAUCAAAGGUUCACGCCGGGUUGUCAUUGGCUAUGAUGAAGGAACUAUCAUGGUCAAACUUGGUCGAGAAGUGCCGGUAGCCAGCAUGGAUAACAGUGGGAAAAUUAUUUGGGCAAAGCAUAAUGAAAUUCAAACUGUCAAUAUAAAGAGUGUAGGAGCAGACGUGGAGGUGGCCGAUGGAGAAAGGUUACCUUUGGCUGUCAAGGAAUUGGGCACCUGUGAUCUCUACCCGCAGUUUUUAAAGCACAAUCCAAACGGCAGAUUUGUUGUUGUGUGUGGAGAUGGUGAGUAUAUUAUUUACACUGCCUUGGCAUGGAGGAAUAGGUCAUUUGGCUCAGCAUUGGAGUUUGUUUGGUCUUCGGAUGGGGAAUACGCUGUCAGAGAAAGUACAUCAAGGAUUAAAAUUUUUAGCAAAAAUUUUCAGGAAAAGAAGAGUAUCCGACCUACAUUUUCAGCUGAACGAAUAUUUGGUGGUACUUUACUGGCAAUGUGCUCAAACGACUUCAUCUGCUUUUAUGAUUGGGCUGAAUGCAGGUUGAUUCGUCGCAUUGAUGUUAAUGUGAAAAACCUUUACUGGGCUGACAGUGGUGAUCUACUGGCAAUUGCAAGUGAUACAUCAUUUUACAUCUUGAAGUACAAUCGUGAUGUUGUUGCAUCAUCGUUGGAUAGUGGAAGACCUGUUGAUGAGCAGGGUGUUGAAGAUGCCUUCGAUCUCCUUCAUGAAAUGAAUGAACGUGUCAGGACUGGCAUCUGGGUUGGGGAUUGUUUCAUCUAUAACAAUUCCUCCUGGAGACUUAACUACUGUGUUGGUGGUGAGGUAACUACAAUGUUUCAUUUGGACCGUCCUAUGUACUUGCUGGGAUAUCUUGCCAGCCAAAGUAGGGUUUAUUUGAUAGACAAGGAGUUCAAUGUUAUGGGGUACACACUGCUUUUAAGCUUGAUUGAGUACAAGACUCUUGUGAUGCGUGGUGAUCUGGAAAGAGCCGAUGAAGUUCUGCCAACAAUUCCUAAAGAGCAUCAUAACAGUGUGGCUCGUUUCCUGGAAUCACGUGGGAUGAUAGAGGAAGCUCUUGAAGUAGCUACUGACCCUGACUACAGAUUUGAGCUUGCCAUACAGCUUGGAAGAUUGGAGGUUGCUAAGAGUAUUGCUACAGAAGUGCACAGUGAGUCUAAAUGGAAGCAGUUGGGAGAGUUAGCUAUGUCUACUGGCAAGUUAGAAAUGGCCGAGGAGUGUCUAAAGCAUGCAAUGGAUUUGAGUGGUUUGUUACUGCUUUAUUCUUCUUUAGGUGAUGCAGAGGGAAUAUCAAAACUUGCAACCCUUGCUAAAGAGCAAGGGAAAAACAAUGUUGCAUUCCUUUGCUUAUUUAUGUUGGGUAGGCUUGAAGACUGCCUGCAAUUGUUGAUAGAAAGCAACCGGAUUCCUGAGGCAGCUCUAAUGGCACGAUCUUAUCUCCCUAGUAAGGUCUCAGAGAUUGUGGCAAUUUGGAGAAAAGAUCUCAGCAAGGUUAAUCCAAAAGCUGCUGAGUCAUUGGCUGAUCCUGAGGAGUAUCCCAAUUUGUUUGAAGACUGGCAAGUUGCACUUGCUGUUGAAUCUAAAGCUGCAGAAACACGGGGUGUUUAUCCUCCUGCAGAAGAUUACAUUAACCAUGCUGCCGAAUCUCGCGUUACCCUUGUUGAAGCAUUCAGAAACAUGCAGAUUGAAGAUGCAGAGGAGCCUCUUGAGAAUGGGGACUCAAAUCAUGAGUUAACUGAACAAAAUGGAGAAGAGCACGUUACAGAGGAACUGAAUGGAGAGGUAGGAAGCCAAGAGGAGGCAGUUGUUGUGGAUGCUGACUCUGCAGAUGGUGCAGUACUUGUUAAUGGCAAUGAGGCUGAUGAACAGUGGGGUACGAAUAAUGAAGGAGCCCUGUCAGCCUAAAAGCAAUUGGUUGGGGCAGUGUGAAAAUCCAAUUUUGUCUCUGGUGAUUAAUUGUUUCUGAAGUGCCAUUUCUAACUCCCGUUUAGACAACUUGCUGACUUACUCCAUUUCUUCUAGCUUUUAUGGUGCUUACACCACAUCACUAGUUAACAUCAAGGACAGUUGGUUCCAGCUCCUAGGAAUAUUUAAGGUUUUCUUAAGGAGGCGAUGUUAGCAUUGUGCGGACUGGCUGUUUCUGUUUCCUGGUGUUGUGGUUUGGUAGUGGCCUGAGUUUUCUCAUUUUGUACGUGGUAUAAUACUAUCUCAUAGGUUCAGGUAGUUACAAUUUAUUAGAAUUUAUAGAAGAUUCUUUUUGAGGCGUUUGACCUCAAAUAUUCUCUCGUGCCAUUGUGAAUGUAGAAAAGCGGAAUUAUGAUUGCGUGUUCUGAUUCUAGGUAGUCCCUCUGAAGUGAAAUCUUGCUCAUGGUUUUCACUUUGAUAUUUACUUGGAUUGUAAUCAUGGACUCAUAAUAGAGAAAAUAACCAUUCUUCCUCAAGAA